GUGCCAGCUCCACAGCACACGUACUGAAACUGGAAUGACAUCGAGGUUAGCAAGGCCCGUGAGCAAAGAUGACACGCUAAUCUGUGAAGCAUUCGUAUGUUUA
Molecule: small nuclear RNA, 103 nt
Organism: Suricata suricatta (meerkat)
Lineage: Eukaryota; Metazoa; Chordata; Mammalia; Carnivora; Herpestidae
Source: Ensembl